Anopheles arabiensis is the source of this 1362-nucleotide long non-coding RNA. RefSeq lists it as uncharacterized. The transcript has 3 exons. The record is from RefSeq and is a predicted model, not a curated record. NCBI's taxonomy places the organism in Eukaryota, Metazoa, Arthropoda, Insecta, Diptera, Culicidae.
CUUAAUGCAGUUGCUACAAGCCACUUUCAACCACUUUUUGCUCGGUCAUACGGAAUAAUUAUUACACCGCUUGAAGCAGUGCAUCUUUAAUAUUUCAGCUUAAAAAACGAAAAAAAUACCCAUCAGCUCAACACUCAAACCCUUCCAAAAAAAAAACGCCUCGCUCCUCGCGGGUGUCGAAGCAGUGAGUGCAUCACUCAUCAUUCCUAUCUCCAGCCACAAUUGCAAAUGCAACCAUCGUGCAUUCGUUUUACAUAAAUUUUCACCCAGUGGGCUGACGAAACCACGAACGCGCAAGGUAACAAACAAAGCACACCAAAAAAACAGCGGGAAGAUGGCUUCAAGAUAAGCUCCCGUGGGUCAAGAAAGCAAGGGAGAAAGUACCUAACGAAAAAAAAAACAAACCAAACGGGCAGCACACUGGAAGAGGAGUGAAAAAAUAGCGCAAUUUUCUAAUACUUCUUCUGCGUUUGCUGCUGCCGCUGCUUGGGAACCGCAACAAGCAGCACGAAAGGGGUCAGCGGACUUCACCUUUUUGUGGCCCUCCGCUUUGGCCUGUCCUCCGCUCGUUUGCCAGUGACAAAAAAAGGCUCGUGUGCACGAUGCAUCUUUGUUGCGCUCCCACUGGCGCCUUGCCACCUUGAGGACAGAAACCAAAACAAAAGGGCAGAGCGUACGAGAGUGGGAUGGUUGCUAACCUUUUGCUUUUUCUCCUUUGGUGCAGUUUGUUUGGAACAAAACAAACGAUAAAGUGAGAAGAAGAAAAAAAAACCCCGAAAAGAGUUGAACAGCGGGAAGCGUUGAAUGAAGAAGCAACACCAAAAAAAAAGACACAAACGCUCCUCAGUCAAAGCUGUGCGCGGAUUCAACACGCUCUCGGCGGGGCGGGGGAGGGCGUAGAAGAUGUGGUGCGGAUGCGUGAAAGAAAAACCGCCAAAUUAUGCGUCCGGCGACAAAGCAGACGUACGGGGCGCGGUGCAUGCGUACGUUCGUGCGUGUAGCUGCUGCUGCACCAUAGCAACGGUGCAUGGAGCAUAACGAAACGCAUCAACCUUUCUCGGGGCGUGUGUGUGAAAAAAAAGCUCCGAAUCUUCACCCAAAGGUACUGCAGGUGGGAAAACGGCAUUUCGCUGAAGGAGGGGAGAAGGCUCACGUUACAUGCAAUGUAUUAGAGGUUCGUUUGAAUACGGUUUCAGCUCGAUUAUGCUGAUGCCGUAAUAAGAUGCAUUAAAUAUUAGCUCUAUUUCGUGAAAAAACACACGCAUACUCACUCACCCUAAAAUGAACAGAUGAUCUUGUAUAAUUACCCACAAAAGGUGAAAUGUACGUGUGGCCAGUUGGGAAAUUUACCUGUAAGAAGAG